GGGGGUGUUGCUCAGUGGUAUAGCAUGUUAUUACCAUGCACGAGACCCUGGGUUCAUCCCAGCACCCCUA
RNAcentral lists this transfer RNA (70 nucleotides) under Heterocephalus glaber (naked mole-rat). It matches the Rfam family "tRNA". From Rfam's summary of the family: Transfer RNA (tRNA) molecules are approximately 80 nucleotides in length. The record is from Rfam by way of RNAcentral. Lineage: Eukaryota; Metazoa; Chordata; Mammalia; Rodentia; Bathyergidae.